Molecule: ribosomal RNA, 623 nt
Filed under: uncultured archaeon
Lineage: Archaea
Description: bacterial SSU rRNA
Rfam family: Archaeal small subunit ribosomal RNA
Source: RNAcentral
AUAAUACUCCAUAGAUUAGAGACACUGGAAUGUUCUUUAGUCGAAAGUUCUGGCGCCUUAGGAUGGAUCUGCGGUCGAUUAGGUUGUUGUUGGGGUAACGGCCCAACAAGCCUGUACUCGAUACGGGUUGUGGGAGCAAGAGCCCGGAGAUGGAAUCUGAGACACGAUUCCAGGCCCUACGGGGCGCAGCAGGCGCGAAAACUUUACAAUGCAGGAAACUGUGAUAAGGGAACUCCGAGUGCCCGUAUACGCGGGCUGUCCAGGUGUUUAAAAAUCAUCUGAAGAAAGGGCCGGGCAAGACCGGUGCCAGCCGCCGCGGUAAUACCGGCGGCUCGAGUGGUGGCCACUAUUAUUGGGCUUAAAGCGUCCGUAGCUGGACCGAUUAGUCUCUUGGGAAAUCCGCCGGCUCAACCGGCGGGCGUCUAAGGGAUACUGUUAGUCUAGGGACCGGGAGAGGUGAGAGGUACUCCGGGGGUAGGAGUGAAAUCCUGUAAUCCCCGGGGGACCACCGAUGGCGAAGGCAUCUCACCAGAACGGCUCCGACAGUGAGGGACGAAAGCUGGGGGAGCGAACCGGAUUAGAUACCCGGGUAGUCCCAGCCGUAAACUAUGCGCGUUAGGUGU